This is a long non-coding RNA of Humulus lupulus (European hop), 1369 nucleotides long. RefSeq lists it as uncharacterized. The record is from RefSeq and is a predicted model, not a curated record. NCBI's taxonomy places the organism in Eukaryota, Viridiplantae, Streptophyta, Magnoliopsida, Rosales, Cannabaceae. The transcript is spliced from 4 exons.
GCAUAUUCUUAUAAGUGUUCUCAUGUAUAAGUAUAAAAGUUGUGUAUGUGAUGUCUAUAUGUAUGCUCAAUAUUAUUAACCUUGUGGCAUUUGAGUUGUCUUUUAUGGGUGUUUGAUGUGCUCAAGAUAUAAGAAAGUAUGAAAAAUAUGGACAAGGCAUGGAAUUAAGUGAUGAAAGUGAGAUAUAGAAGGCAAAAUAGGUUAAGUAGUGAAAAAUAGUACAAUGUCGAUUACUAGUAUUUCGGUGUAAAAUUGAGUAUUUAUGGAUUUACCAAAUGUAAUCGAGGUAUGAUUAAGGUCUCAUUGAUGAUGUAAAAAUGGUUUUAGAACUAUUAGAUCAAUUCUUGAUGGGAGGUAUACAUAAUCAGUGGUAUUGAUGCAAAGUCAAAACGAGCUUAGCAUAAGUGCGCUACGCUCGAUCGGGUAAGCAUAACUAUUGGGUAUGAAGUCAUAUGGACCUAAGGUUUGGUGUGAGUGUUUUACACAUAAGGAUAAUAGGCCUAGCAGAUGAUUAAGUCGAAAUUAUUGAAGUGAUAAGGUUUUCAUAAGUCAAAAGGUGAAAUGAUGAGAUGAAAGGUGUCAACUUUUGACAAUAAGGCUAAAUCAUUGAAAAUAAGGAAUUUUCAUCAACCUUAUCACUUUGCACGACCAUUAUUCUGAAAAAUAGAGAGAAAAGAAAACCAAAAACCAUUUCUUGGCUGGUUUGAAGAAAUUCUAAGGAGAUCCAAGUGAAAGCAAAGCCAAAGAAGUAGAUUAAGCUUAGUUCUAGCCUUUUUAUGAUAUUUCUUGGGGUUUCCAAGUGGUUUGAGGUUUAGAAAAGCUUGAAGAGAUUGUUUUCGCCGAAAAGUUGCUCGGAUAAGCAUAUCAACACCUAAGACAUCACUUGUUACACGGUGAAAUAUAUUGUGGACAAAAGUGUGUGGCCGCCUUAACUCUUGAGCCUGACGGGGCAACGAUGGAAUAAGGUUUUUAAUGUGCCCUACUGUGGUGAUGGCUAGCCGGAGGAGAACCCAUGGGAUUUUAUAUUGUAUGUGUAACAAGCCCUGCAGGCAUUGACCAAUUCAAACAGUGUGCACAAUAUUAAGGGGCCCAAAAUUUAAAAAGAAGUUGUGUAUGUCCAUUGAUAUUGGGUAAUCAUUAGCAUUGCAUGCAUUACUUUGCUUACUGAGCUUUAGGCUCACAGUUGUCUUGUGUUGCAGGUAGAGAAAGAAAUGUGUGAAUGACAUGAGGAGAACUGAAGCAUGGUCCUGACCCUGAUUUGUACAUAUGAACAUAUCGACCUUUUGUGGGUUAUUUCAGUUAUCAGUGAGAUGUUUGUAAUAAAGUGUGAAGUUAUGUUUUGAAAAUAAAUUGGGUUAUUUAAUACUUA